RNAcentral lists this ribosomal RNA (2931 nucleotides) under Triticum aestivum (bread wheat). Its description in RNAcentral is "partial small subunit ribosomal RNA". Lineage: Eukaryota; Viridiplantae; Streptophyta; Magnoliopsida; Poales; Poaceae. The record is from RNAcentral.
AUGUCUCUUGAUCUCUUCUCCUCUAGGUUCUUGUUUUCUUCUGGCGCUGCGAAGAAGCUCCCCAGCAGGAGAAGGGUCACGUUCGUUGCUGCCGCUUCUUCGUCUCCGUCCACACCAUCGCCGCCACGGUCGCAGGAUGCCUCCUCUUCUUCCAGGCAAAGGAGUGUACGUGCCACGCCGUUGAGUCCCAGCAAAGGUGCGUCUCGACCUGCCGGUAGCAAUGGCAGGACUAGGAGGAGGAGGCAGAGGAGGACGGUCGAGGGAGGGCAAGAACAAGGCGGCUGCGUGCCGUCGGUGGAGGAGGCGUCCAUAAGGGUAGGGACGCUGUAUGAGAACGGCGAUCCACUAGGGCGGAAGGAGCUUGGCCGGUGUGUCGUGGAGUGGCUAAGGCAGGGGAUGCAGUCCAUGGCAUCCAAAUUCGCUUCCGCCGAGCUUCAGGGUGACAUGGCGGACCUCACCACAGCGGCAUUGACUCUGAAUUGGGGAUCGGCAGAAGGCCAGCUUGGGUUUGUGAUCCAGGCACAGCCUUAUCUCUCGUCCAUCCCCAUGCCCAAGGGUCUGGAGUCACUCUGCUUCAAGGCCUGUACGCACUACCCCACCCUUUUCGACCAUUUCCAGCGUGAGCUCCGUGCUGUCCUGCUGAGUUAUCAGAACCAGGGGCUCAUCUACGACUGGCGCUCCACGCAGACAUGGAAGCUGUUGAAGGAAAUGGCCAAUUCUACUCAUCACCGAGCAGCUGUGCGCAGGACGACACCACGAACUAAAGCGGUUCACAGUAGCAUUGGCAUAAGCUUAAAGAAGGUAAGGCUGAUGCAGGACAGGAUUGAAGACUUUGUGAAGCAUAUGUCAGACCUACUGCGCAUCGAGCGAGAUGCCGAGCUGGAGUUUACACAGGAGGAGCUGAAUGCCACCACUAUGCUCGACAACAAUUCCAAGCCAUCCAAGCCAGUUGAGUACUUGGUGACCCAUGGACAGGCUCAGCAGGAGCAGUGUGACACCAUUUGCAACUUGAGUGUCAUCAGCAGCUCAACUGGUUUGGGAGGCCUACAUUUGGUUCUAUUCAGAAUUGAAGGUGAACACAAGCUGCCUCCAACCACAUUGUCACCUGGGGACAUGGUUUGUGUGAGAACAUGUAAUAGCCGUGGUGAGGGAGCCACUUCUUGCAUGCAAGGCUUUCUUUAUAAUCUCGGGGAGGACGGUUGCAGCAUAACUGUGGCUCUGGAAUCUCGCCAUGGUGACCCAACCUUCUCCAGGUUAUUUGGGAAAAGUGUGCGCAUUGACCGGAUACAGGGAUUGGCAGAUGCACUUACUUAUGAGCGGAAUCUUGAAGCAUUGAUGCUACUUCAAAGGAAUGGUUUGCUGAAAAGUAACGCUUCCAUUGAUGUGGUAGCUACUCUGUUCGGUGACAGCAAAGAUGUCAUGAAGAUGGAGCAGAAUUGCCUGAUUGAUUGGGGUGAAUCAAGUCUACCUGAUCCAAGGCUAUCAGAGAGGUGUGCAUUUGAUGACUCCCAGUUAAGGGCUCUCUCAUUAGGCCUGAACAAGAAGAGGCAUGUUCUGGUCAUCCAGGGGCCUCCUGGCACGGGCAAGACAGUUUUGCUCACGGAACUCAUUGUACGUGCUGUCCGGCAGGGUGAAAGUGUCCUUGUGACAGCUCCAAGCAAUGCGGCAGUUGAUAACAUGGUUGAAAGGUUGUCAAGAACUGGCUUAAACAUUGUGCGAGUUGGAAACCCUGCUCGGAUAUCACCAUCGGUUACUUCGAAGUCCUUGGCAGAGAUUGUAAAUGGAAGGCUUGGUCAGUUUAGGAAGGAGCUUGAGAGAAAGAGAACUGACUUAAGAAAGGACUUGAGGGACUGCAUAGAGGACGAUUCUUUAGCUGCAGGCAUUCGUCAACUUCUGAAGCAACUUGGGAGGGAUCUGGAAAUGAAAGAAAAAGAAACGAUCAUGGAAGUGCUAUCUGAUGCACAGGUUGUGCUUUCUACUAACACAGGGGCAGCCGAUCCACUUAUCAGGAAAACUGGUUGUUUUGACUUGGUAAUUAUAGAUGAAGCAGGUCAAGGAAUUGAGCCCUCUUGCUGGAUUCCCAUACUGCAGGGAAAACGUUGUAUUCUUGCGGGUGAUCAUUGCCAACUUGCACCUGCCAUAUUGUCAAGGAAGGCCCUGGAAGGUGGGCUUGGCAAAUCUAUGAUGGAAAGGGCUUCAUUGUUGCAUGAUGGAUUACUUACUACAAGACUGACAGUCCAGCAUAGAAUGCAUGAUUCAAUAGCCAGUUGGGCAUCUAAAGAGAUGUAUCAGGGGUUACUCCAGUCUUCUCAUUCUGUUGCUUCGCAUCUUCUUGCCGACUCUCCAGUUGUAAAGGAUACUUGGAUAACACGGUGCCCACUGCUUUUACUUGAUACCCGAAUGCCAUAUGGAAUUCUAAACGUUGAUUGUGUGGAGCAUUUAGACCCUGCUGGCACAGGAUCAUUUUAUAAUGAUGGAGAAGCAGACAUAGUUACACAGCAUGUUCUCAAUCUUGUGCAUUGUGGAGUGUCUCCAAAUGAGAUAGCCAUCCAGUCACCCUACAUUGCUCAAGUUCAAUUAUUAAGAGAGAAGUUAGAAGAAUAUUCAGGGCUUUCCGGGGUUGAGGUUUCAACAGUAGAUAGCUUUCAAGGGAGGGAGGCAGAUGCGGUGGUCCUAUCAAUGGUUCGGUCAAACCCACUGGGAGCUGUAGGGUUCAUGGGCGACAGCAGGCUAAUGAAUGUGGCUAUCACAAGGGCACGCCGGCAUGUCACUGUGGUAUGUGACACCUCGACCAUUUGCCACAGCACCUUCCUCGCCCGGCUCCUCCGUCAUAUCAGGCGGUAUGGACAAGUAAAACAUGUUGCACCUGGUUCCCUAGAUGGGGUCUCAGGACUCGGCUUCAGCCAACCCACUCUCCCGUCUAUCAGCUAG